This 410-nucleotide long non-coding RNA is filed under the name Phasianus colchicus (ring-necked pheasant). Its description in RNAcentral is "lncRNA (ENSPCLG00000020953.1)". The record is from RNAcentral. Lineage: Eukaryota; Metazoa; Chordata; Aves; Galliformes; Phasianidae.
AUGCCAUCACUGCCAAGCUGCGUCCAGCCCUGCCUCCAGCUGCUGCUUCUGGUGCUAUGUCUGCUCAGAUUUCUCCAAAAGAUGAGCAUGGACAAAAUGGGCUGGAAACCUAAUCAUGAGUUGCAGGCACCCAAACAGCACCAAAACAGGAAACAUUUCAGAAGUUCUCAAGCCCACAGGGUCCAGGGAGACUAGCACAGCUUCACUGAAAGACUGGCUGCCAUUGGUUCAAACAGCAAGUGGAAGAGCCUUUCUGCCAAAUGCAAGAAUGCUUGUAAGACCUUAGGCUCACACGAGGCUCUGGGCACAUUCCCAAAUUUCGUACCAUGAGAAGAGGCUGAAACACAGAAUCACAGAACUGCCAUGAUUUUGAAACAAAGCUGUGAUGACCUUUAUUGUCCAAUAAAAAC